GACGAACGCUGGCGGCGUGCUUAACACAUGCAAGUCGAACGGAAAGGCCUCUUUCGGGUGGUACUCUAGUGGCGAACGGGUGUGUAACACGUUAGUAACCUGCCCUUGUCUUUUUGUUAACUUCAUGAAACUGGUGCUAAUACCUGUUAUGAGCUCCUUCUCCAUGUUGUGGGUUUUAAAGUUUCGGCGGUUGUGGAUGGACUCGCGGCUUAUCAUCUUGUUUGUGGGGUAGUGGCUUAACAAGGCUUUGACGGGUAGCCGGGCUGAGAGGGUGAGCGUCAAAAUUGGGACUGAGAUACGGCCAAGAAUCCUACGGGAGGGAGAAGUGGGGAAUAUUGCACAAUGGGUGGAAGCCUGAUGCAGAAAAGCCGUGUGCGGGAUGACGGCCUUGGGGUUGUAAAACGCUUUCGCUAAUGAAGAAGCUUUGUGUGACGGUAGUGGGUAAAGAAGCACCGGCUAACUACGUG
This 467-nucleotide ribosomal RNA is filed under the name uncultured bacterium. Its description in RNAcentral is "partial 16S ribosomal RNA". It matches the Rfam family "Bacterial small subunit ribosomal RNA", at positions 28 to 507 of the family's 1533-position model. The record is from RNAcentral.